Molecule: ribosomal RNA, 495 nt
Filed under: uncultured bacterium
Lineage: Bacteria
Description: partial 16S ribosomal RNA
Rfam family: Bacterial small subunit ribosomal RNA
Source: RNAcentral
GACGAACGCUGGCGGCGUGCCUAAUACAUGCAAGUAGAACGCUGAAGGAGGAGCUUGCUUCUCUGGAUGAGUUGCGAACGGGUGAGUAACGCGUAGGUAACCUGCCUGGUAGCGGGGGAUAACUAUUGGAAACGAUAGCUAAUACCGCAUAAGAGUAGCUGUUGCAUGACAUUUGCUUAAAAGGUGCAAUUGCAUCACUACCAGAUGGACCUGCGUUGUAUUAGCUAGUUGGUGGGGUAACGGCUCACCAAGGCGACGAUACAUAGCCGACCUGAGAGGGUGAUCGGCCACACUGGGACUGAGACACGGCCCAGACUCCUACGGGAGGCAGCAGUAGGGAAUCUUCGGCAAUAGACGGAAGUCUGACCGAGCAACGCCGCGUGAGUGAAGAAGGUUUUCGGAUCGUAAAGCUCUGUUGUAAGAGAAGAACGAGUGUGAGAGUGGAAAGUUCACACUGUGACGGUAUCUGACCAGAAAGGGACGGCUAACUACGUG